GGAAUAUAAGAGUUCGUCUCUUAAUCUUUAACUAAAAAAACUAAGAAUUGGUUCUUAAAUAAGAUAUUUAAGAACCGGUUCUUAGCUUUUUUUAUUUAAAAGCUAAGAGACGAGUUCUUAUAUUAC
Non-coding RNA from Brassica napus (rape), 126 nucleotides. The record is from Rfam. Lineage: Eukaryota; Viridiplantae; Streptophyta; Magnoliopsida; Brassicales; Brassicaceae.